GACGAACGCUGGCGGCGUGCUUAACACAUGCAAGUCGAACGGAAAGUCCCUGCUUUUGUGGGGUGCUCGGGUUGCGAACGGGUGAGUAACACGUGAGUAACCUGCCCUUGACUUUAGGAUAACUUCAUGAAACUGGGUCUAAUCCCGGAUAGGAGCUCCUGCUGCAUGGUGGGCGUUGGUAAGUUUCGGCGGUUGGUAAUUGACUCGCGGCUUAUCAGCUUGUUGGUGGGGUAGUGUCUUACCAAGGCUUUGACGGGUAGCCGUCCUGGGCGGGUGAGAGGCCACACUAGGCCUGAGCUACGACACAGACUCCACCGGGAGGCAGGGGUGGGGAAUAUAGUACAAGGGGAGGAAGCCUGAUGCAGUAAAGCAGCGUCGGGGAUGACGGCAUUCGGGUUGUGAAGCGAUUUCGCCUGUGACGAAGCGUGAGUGACGGUAAUGGGUAAAGAAGCACCGGCUAACUACGUG
Molecule: ribosomal RNA, 468 nt
Filed under: uncultured bacterium
Lineage: Bacteria
Description: partial 16S ribosomal RNA
Rfam family: Bacterial small subunit ribosomal RNA
Source: RNAcentral